GGAGGGGGCGGGAAAUGGCUGACAACCGGUCGCGGCCGGUUAAAACCGGUCGGCGCCGGCGGCUGUGAGGGAAAGGGCGGGACGCGGCCGCCGCCCUGAGGGGAAGAAGGCAGCGGGGUGUGCGGAGCGGCGGUAUUCCCGCGGGCAGCGGCGGUAUUCCCGCGGGGAGCGGCGGUAUUCCCGCGGGCAGCGGGGCUUGCAGUGUUACUCCUGGGGAGGUGUGUGUGUGUGGAAGGUUGGGUCACGCUGAGGUGCCGUCUUUAAUCGGAUUUGGUGACAAUAAUUGAUUUUGGCGCUCGGAACGCUGGGGCGUAGGUGGCGGUGUAGGCUCACGUGCAGGUUCGUAAGCGUAAUAGAGGUGGUGACGCAGCGCGGGGCUGUGCGUCUUCUCAAAUAGAAAUACCCGCACGCAGUUGUGGUGAUAAAUUCGGAGGUUUCCCCAGUCUUUGUAAAAGCCAGCCUAACCUCUGCCCUUUAUGCCGGUGCCUCUGUAUAACGUGGUUACGUGACGGUUCCCAACCAACACUUCCUUACGUAGGUUUUGCUGUUUUAUUUUUAACAACUAAAUGCGUAUCAUUCUCAGGUACUUUACUGUUUUCCUGACAAGCGCUGCGUAUCAUCGUGUUGACUCCAGUUCCCCCUGCCAAGAGGAUGCUGCUCAAACCGAGGUGGCAGGGCUGAGCCCACAUUUGCAGAAGGCGAUCGCUCUACGUUCCUCUCUGUUUCUCUCCAGUGUAGGCUCAGACCAGGUGCUGAGGGAUCGGUGCAGCUAACUUGCUGCUGGCUGUGGUUCACUGCCAGUAACAGUGACGCUUCAGGAUCAGUGGCAAUAAUUGGGAGUUUAUUACGGAUUGUUGUGCUUUUUCUGUCUUCUGGCUGGGUUUUAGCUGGCAUGCAGUGUUGUGAGGCAAGCUGUGUCUGUUUUCUGUAACACUGCAAGGUGGCAGCCUACAGCUUCUGAGGUGGCUCUGGAGUAAUCAGGAAAAUGACUUGUUUUUACAGAAAUACAUCUGAAUGUGAAUCUUUUAGUCUGUGCAGUAUCUCCUAUGUUAUUUGAUGUUCUGUAUUGUUUAUUUUUCUCUCACUCUUCAGCGUGCAGUCCUGCAGAAGUUGUCAGAGAGGAAUAGAAGUGCUUCGGGUGGUUUCGUAGUGCGGUUUCCUGGGCUCCUGCAGUGCUUGGAGAGGGGUAGGACAUUCUGGGUGAUGUGAUGGGUUCAGACUUAGGCUGUGCUGUCUGAGCUCUGUGCUCAGGGCUAAUUCGGGGCUCUCAGGACAGAAGUGAGCGAGAAAGAAGAAAGGGCAAAAGCAGGUACAGAGGCAGAAGUGCUGUGAAUACCAGGGCGGAAAGCCAGACCCCUUCCUUCAGCCAAGAGGCUGCGUUCUGCUCUGGAAGCAGUAACUGGAGCUGGUUGAUGUGAGAAGCACUUCUCGCUGGUGGUUACUUUCCUGACAUCCUCCACUUUGUCACUUCAGGAUAUGUUGGUAUUAGAACUGUUCAGAGAAAGGAUGGCAAGAAUUCUCAUGUACAGAGGGAGAGGAUGCGAGCUUAGCCUGAGGCAGACGAGUGGCCAAGUCAGCUCAAGGUGCUCCUCCAGCAAGGUGUGAGAACAGAGAGAAGGAGAAAUAGAAAAGGAAGGGCUGGGAGCCAGACAUUCGGCUGUGAGCCGUGGGGCAACCUUGCUCUUGUACUGCCCUGCAUCACUUACUAUCCAUAAAGGAACAGGUUGUGUCUCUCCUGAACUCCAAUGUCUGGUUUAGCGGGUGGUAAUAAGUGUUUGGAAAUUAUCUCCUGGUGGCCACUGUCUGAGGAGAAGGAGCAUGAGGCAGAACAGUGUGGGGAGUGACUGAACGCUGUGGAGUCCACGUGGGGAUAGCAGAGAGCCCGAAAACAGUUUUAUGUGCACAUUCUUGCCUUUUAUUUUAUCUUCUUUUUAUCUUUCCAGUGUACUAAGUGGGUAAGUGGGGGGAAAAGAGAAAAAGCCCUCCAGUACUACACACAGUGCAGGGUGUUUCUGAAGUACCAAGGCCUGAAUGAAGAUAACAACUGAAAUGACCAUUUAAGUUGUAACAAAAUAAAGAUUUUAAGGCUUUUUCAAAAUCUCUCCAGAAAAGAAAUAUUUUAAUCUCAAAAUUUUGAAGAGGAAAGAAUAAAAUUGGUAACAUUUGUUACAGAAUUAGAAUAAUAGGAACAGGCUAAGCUGUUUUGUUAUGCCUCGGUGUGUGGCUUUGCCAUAUAUAUUACAAAAAUACAAAAAUCUAUUUGUUUGAUGUAGGGUGGUUUCUUGUUUUUUUUCCAGCAGGUUCUGUGCAUGCAGAAAGCCUGGCAAAGUGAAGGAGACCGAGAGUACCUACAACCUUAGUUGCUUCUCUCUUCUGGCUGGCUUUGCACUGUGUCUGUUUUUGGGCAGCCUUGGAGACAUGUACACUGGGAAAGGAAACUGUGAAGGAGCUAGGAAUGGAAAUUGUCACUGUGAGAACUGGUACGCUCUUUAAGUGAAACGAAAUGGUACUUGCCUACUGGAUGUCUGAGCAGUCUGCGGUCUGAAUAUUACACCGUAGUUACUCACAAGGAUAAAAAGAGUAUUUCCAGUUGCUAUUUCUAUAGCUGAGCCACCCUCAGAGGCUCAGGUUUGGUUUUACUUCCUAAUAUCUUUGUUUUGAUUUGAUUUGUAGUAAAUUAAAUUGAUUUUGUUUCUUC
Long non-coding RNA from Aquila chrysaetos chrysaetos, 2698 nucleotides. RefSeq lists it as uncharacterized. The transcript has 3 exons. The record is from RefSeq and is a predicted model, not a curated record. Lineage: Eukaryota; Metazoa; Chordata; Aves; Accipitriformes; Accipitridae.